RNAcentral lists this unclassified non-coding RNA (317 nucleotides) under uncultured fungus. RNAcentral's name for it is "partial contains small subunit ribosomal RNA, internal transcribed spacer 1, and 5.8S ribosomal RNA". The stretch from base 1 to 73 matches the Rfam family "Eukaryotic small subunit ribosomal RNA", at positions 1759 to 1831 of the family's 1831-position model. The record is from RNAcentral. Lineage: Eukaryota; Fungi.
GCAAACUUGGUCAUUUAGAGGAAGUAAAAGUCGUAACAAGGUUUCCGUAGGUGAACCUGCGGAAGGAUCAUUAUCGAGUCUUGACUGGGUUGUAGCUGGCCUUACGAGGCAUGUGCAUGCCCUGCUCAUCCACUCUACACCUGUGCACUUACUGUGGGUUUCAGAUCAUGAAGUGGGCCUACGGGCUUGUGAAGCGCAUCUGUGCCUGCGUUUAUUACAAACUCUAUAAAGUAUCAGAAUGUAUUGCAGUAAUAAUGCAUCUAUAUACAACUUUCAGCAAUGGAUCUCUUGGCUCUCGCAUCGAUGAAGAACGCAGC